This 1216-nucleotide ribosomal RNA is filed under the name metagenome. RNAcentral's name for it is "bacterial SSU rRNA". It matches the Rfam family "Bacterial small subunit ribosomal RNA", at positions 299 to 1498 of the family's 1533-position model. The record is from RNAcentral.
GAUGGUCAGUCACACUGGGACUGAGACACUGCCCAGACUCCUACGGGAGGCUGCAGUCGAGGAUCAUUCGCAAUGCGCGAAAGCGUGACGAUGCGACGCUGCGUGGAGGAUGAAGGCCUUCGGGUCGUAAACUCCUGUCAUUCGGGAACAAUAACAAGAAGGUGAAUAACCUUUUUGGAUGAUAGUACCGGAAGAGGAAGCCACGGCUAACUCUGUGCCAGCAGCCGCGGUAAUACAGAGGUGGCGAGCGUUGUUCGGAUUUACUGGGCGUAAAGGGUGCGUAGGUGGUUUUGUGUGUCGGAUGUGAAAUCUCACUGCUCAACGGUGAAAUGGCAUUCGAAACUGCAGAGCUUGAGUGCAGGAGAGGAGAGCGGAAUUCUUGGUGUAGCGGUGGAAUGCGUUGAGAUCAAGAAGAACACCGGUGGCGUAGGCGGCUCUCUGGUAUGCAACUGACUCUGAGGCACGAAAGUUGGGGGAGCAAACAGGAUUAGAUACCCUGGUAGUCCCAACCUUAAACGGUGUACAUUUGGUGUGGGGAGAUUGACCCUCUCCGUGCCGGAGCUAACGCGUUAAAUGUACCGCCUGGGGAGUACGGUCGCAAGAUUAAAACUCAAAGAAAUUGACGGGGGCCCGCACAAGCGGAGGAGCAUGUGGCUUAAUUCGAUGCACGCGAAGAACCUUACCAGGGCUUGACAUGCAGCUGCACGUCCGCCGAAAAGCGGAUUCCUUCGAGGGUGCUGCACAGGUGCUGCAUGGCUGUCGUCAGUUCGUGCCGUGAGGUGUUGGGUUAAGUCCCGCAACGAACGCAACCCCUGUGAUUAGUUGCUAGCAAUGGUGAUGAAUCAUUGUGCACUCUAGUCAGACUGCCCGUGAUAAGCGGGAGGAAGGUGGGGAUGACGUCAAGUCAGUAUGGCCCUUACGCCCUGGGCUGCACACGUGCUACAAUGGUCGGUACAGAGGGAAGCGAAACCGCGAGGCGAAGCAAAUCCCGUAAAACCGGCCCCAGUUCGGAUUGAAGUCUGAAACUCGACUUCAUGAAGUUGGAUUCGCUAGUAAUGGCGCAUCAGCUACGGCGCCGUGAAUACGUUCCCGGGCCUUGUACACACCGCCCGUCACAUCAUGAAAGCCGUCUGCACCCGAAGUCGCUGAUUCAACCCGCAAGGGAGAUAUGUGCCCAAGAUGUGGGUGGUGAUUGGGAUGAAGUCGUAACAAGGUA